GUGCUCACUUCAGCAGCACAUGUACUAAAAUUGGAAGGAUACGGAGAAGAUUAGCAUGGCCCCUGCGCAAAAACAAUCUCAAUCCUCUAUAUUGUAGUGAUUAUUUUU
This is a small nuclear RNA of Fukomys damarensis (Damara mole-rat), 108 nucleotides long. The record is from Ensembl. Lineage: Eukaryota; Metazoa; Chordata; Mammalia; Rodentia; Bathyergidae.